Molecule: ribosomal RNA, 2903 nt
Filed under: Escherichia coli O104:H4 str. 04-8351
Lineage: Bacteria; Pseudomonadati; Pseudomonadota; Gammaproteobacteria; Enterobacterales; Enterobacteriaceae
Description: bacterial LSU rRNA
Rfam family: Bacterial large subunit ribosomal RNA
Source: RNAcentral
UUAAGCGACUAAGCGUACACGGUGGAUGCCCUGGCAGUCAGAGGCGAUGAAGGACGUGCUAAUCUGCGAUAAGCGUCGGUAAGGUGAUAUGAACCGUUAUAACCGGCGAUUUCCGAAUGGGGAAACCCAGUGUGUUUCGACACACUAUCAUUAACUGAAUCCAUAGGUUAAUGAGGCGAACCGGGGGAACUGAAACAUCUAAGUACCCCGAGGAAAAGAAAUCAACCGAGAUUCCCCCAGUAGCGGCGAGCGAACGGGGAGCAGCCCAGAGCCUGAAUCAGUGUGUGUGUUAGUGGAAGCGUCUGGAAAGGCGCGCGAUACAGGGUGACAGCCCCGUACACAAAAAUGCACAUGCUGUGAGCUCGAUGAGUAGGGCGGGACACGUGGUAUCCUGUCUGAAUAUGGGGGGACCAUCCUCCAAGGCUAAAUACUCCUGACUGACCGAUAGUGAACCAGUACCGUGAGGGAAAGGCGAAAAGAACCCCGGCGAGGGGAGUGAAAAAGAACCUGAAACCGUGUACGUACAAGCAGUGGGAGCACGCUUAGGCGUGUGACUGCGUACCUUUUGUAUAAUGGGUCAGCGACUUAUAUUCUGUAGCAAGGUUAACCGAAUAGGGGAGCCGAAGGGAAACCGAGUCUUAACUGGGCGUUAAGUUGCAGGGUAUAGACCCGAAACCCGGUGAUCUAGCCAUGGGCAGGUUGAAGGUUGGGUAACACUAACUGGAGGACCGAACCGACUAAUGUUGAAAAAUUAGCGGAUGACUUGUGGCUGGGGGUGAAAGGCCAAUCAAACCGGGAGAUAGCUGGUUCUCCCCGAAAGCUAUUUAGGUAGCGCCUCGUGAAUUCAUCUCCGGGGGUAGAGCACUGUUUCGGCAAGGGGGUCAUCCCGACUUACCAACCCGAUGCAAACUGCGAAUACCGGAGAAUGUUAUCACGGGAGACACACGGCGGGUGCUAACGUCCGUCGUGAAGAGGGAAACAACCCAGACCGCCAGCUAAGGUCCCAAAGUCAUGGUUAAGUGGGAAACGAUGUGGGAAGGCCCAGACAGCCAGGAUGUUGGCUUAGAAGCAGCCAUCAUUUAAAGAAAGCGUAAUAGCUCACUGGUCGAGUCGGCCUGCGCGGAAGAUGUAACGGGGCUAAACCAUGCACCGAAGCUGCGGCAGCGACGCUGAUGCGUUGUUGGGUAGGGGAGCGUUCUGUAAGCCUGCGAAGGUGUGCUGUGAGGCAUGCUGGAGGUAUCAGAAGUGCGAAUGCUGACAUAAGUAACGAUAAAGCGGGUGAAAAGCCCGCUCGCCGGAAGACCAAGGGUUCCUGUCCAACGUUAAUCGGGGCAGGGUGAGUCGACCCCUAAGGCGAGGCCGAAAGGCGUAGUCGAUGGGAAACAGGUUAAUAUUCCUGUACUUGGUGUUACUGCGAAGGGGGGGACGGAGAAGGCUAUGUUGGCCGGGCGACGGUUGUCCCGGUUUAAGCGUGUAGGCUGGUUUUCCAGGCAAAUCCGGAAAAUCAAGGCUGAGGCGUGAUGACGAGGCACUACGGUGCUGAAGCAACAAAUGCCCUGCUUCCAGGAAAAGCCUCUAAGCAUCAGGUAACAUCAAAUCGUACCCCAAACCGACACAGGUGGUCAGGUAGAGAAUACCAAGGCGCUUGAGAGAACUCGGGUGAAGGAACUAGGCAAAAUGGUGCCGUAACUUCGGGAGAAGGCACGCUGAUAUGUAGGUGAAGCGACUUGCUCGUGGAGCUGAAAUCAGUCGAAGAUACCAGCUGGCUGCAACUGUUUAUUAAAAACACAGCACUGUGCAAACACGAAAGUGGACGUAUACGGUGUGACGCCUGCCCGGUGCCGGAAGGUUAAUUGAUGGGGUUAGCGCAAGCGAAGCUCUUGAUCGAAGCCCCGGUAAACGGCGGCCGUAACUAUAACGGUCCUAAGGUAGCGAAAUUCCUUGUCGGGUAAGUUCCGACCUGCACGAAUGGCGUAAUGAUGGCCAGGCUGUCUCCACCCGAGACUCAGUGAAAUUGAACUCGCUGUGAAGAUGCAGUGUACCCGCGGCAAGACGGAAAGACCCCGUGAACCUUUACUAUAGCUUGACACUGAACAUUGAGCCUUGAUGUGUAGGAUAGGUGGGAGGCUUUGAAGUGUGGACGCCAGUCUGCAUGGAGCCGACCUUGAAAUACCACCCUUUAAUGUUUGAUGUUCUAACGUGGACCCGUAAUCCGGGUUGCGGACAGUGUCUGGUGGGUAGUUUGACUGGGGCGGUCUCCUCCUAAAGAGUAACGGAGGAGCACGAAGGUUGGCUAAUCCUGGUCGGACAUCAGGAGGUUAGUGCAAUGGCAUAAGCCAGCUUGACUGCGAGCGUGACGGCGCGAGCAGGUGCGAAAGCAGGUCAUAGUGAUCCGGUGGUUCUGAAUGGAAGGGCCAUCGCUCAACGGAUAAAAGGUACUCCGGGGAUAACAGGCUGAUACCGCCCAAGAGUUCAUAUCGACGGCGGUGUUUGGCACCUCGAUGUCGGCUCAUCACAUCCUGGGGCUGAAGUAGGUCCCAAGGGUAUGGCUGUUCGCCAUUUAAAGUGGUACGCGAGCUGGGUUUAGAACGUCGUGAGACAGUUCGGUCCCUAUCUGCCGUGGGCGCUGGAGAACUGAGGGGGGCUGCUCCUAGUACGAGAGGACCGGAGUGGACGCAUCACUGGUGUUCGGGUUGUCAUGCCAAUGGCACUGCCCGGUAGCUAAAUGCGGAAGAGAUAAGUGCUGAAAGCAUCUAAGCACGAAACUUGCCCCGAGAUGAGUUCUCCCUGACUCCUUGAGAGUCCUGAAGGAACGUUGAAGACGACGACGUUGAUAGGCCGGGUGUGUAAGCGCAGCGAUGCGUUGAGCUAACCGGUACUAAUGAACCGUGAGGCUUAACCUU